RNAcentral lists this ribosomal RNA (404 nucleotides) under Actinomycetes bacterium. RNAcentral describes it as "Actinobacteria bacterium partial 16S ribosomal RNA". It matches the Rfam family "Bacterial small subunit ribosomal RNA", at positions 355 to 776 of the family's 1533-position model. Lineage: Bacteria; Bacillati; Actinomycetota; Actinomycetes. The record is from RNAcentral.
UGGGGAAUAUUGGACAAUGGGCGCAAGCCUGAUCCAGCCAUGCCGCGUGAGUGAUGAAGGCCCUAGGGUUGUAAAGCUCUUUCACCGGUGAAGAUAAUGACGGUAACCGGAGAAGAAGCCCCGGCUAACUUCGUGCCAGCAGCCGCGGUAAUACGAAGGGGGCUAGCGUUGUUCGGAUUUACUGGGCGUAAAGCGCACGUAGGCGGACUUUUAAGUCAGGGGUGAAAUCCCGGGGCUCAACCCCGGAACUGCCUUUGAUACUGGAAGUCUUGAGUAUGGUAGAGGUGAGUGGAAUUCCGAGUGUAUAGGUGAAAUUCGUAGAUAUUCGGAGGAACACCAGUGGCGAAGGCGGCUCACUGGACCAUUACUGACGCUGAGGUGCGAAAGCGUGGGGAGCAAACAGG